GGUUUAUUGAUUAUGGCUCAGAUUGAACGCUGGCGGGAUGCUUUACACAUGCAAGUCGAACGGCAGCACGGACUUCGGUCUGGUGGCGAGUAGCGAACGGGUGGUAAUGUAUCAGACGUGCCUAGUAAGCGAGGAUAACUACGCGAAAGCGUAGCUAAUACCUGCUCCGCACUCGAAGCGGGGGACGGGCCUCGCACUAUUAGAGCGGCCGAUAUCGGAUUAGCUAGUUGGUGGGGUAACGGCUCACCAAGGCGACGAUCACAUGGCUGGUUUGAGAGGACGACCAGCCACACUGGGACGCACGGCCCAGACUCCUGCGGGAGGCAGCGAUUGGGGAAUUUUGGACGGAAACCCCUGAUCCAGCCAUCCCGCGUGCGUGAAGGCCUUCGGUUGUCAUAGCUUACUUUGGCAGGAAAAGCCAGCACAAGGAUAUGCCCCGUGCAACUGACGGUACCUGCAGAAUAAGCACCGGCUAACUACGUGCCAGCAGCCGCGGUAUGCAGCCAAGGUGCACAGCGUUAAUCGGAAUUACUGGGCGUAAAGCGUGCGCAGGCGGUUCGGAAAGAAGAUGUGAAAUCCCAGAACUUAACUUUGGAACUGCAUUUAACUACCGACUAGAGUGUGUCAGAGAGGUGGAAUUCGCGUAGCAGUGAAAUAUUGUGAAUAUGCGGAGGAAGACGCCGAUGGCGAGAGCAGCCUCCUGGGAUAACACUGACAUCAUGCGAAAGCGUGGGGAGCAAACAGGAUUAGAUACCCUGGUAGUCCCACGCCUAAACGUGUCAACUGGCUGUUUGGGCCUUCCGGGCCUUGGUAGCGCAACUAACGCGUGAAGUUGACCGCCGCAGAGAAUACGGUCGCAAGAUUAAAACUCAAGGAAUUGACGGGGACGCCGCACAAGCGGUGGAUGAUGGAUUAAUUCGAUGCAACGCGCGAAAAACCUUACCUUUACCGCUGACAUGUCUGGAAUCCCGAAGAGAUUUGGGAGUGCUCGCAAGAGAACCGGAACACAGGUGCUGCAUGGCUGUCGUCGGCUCGUGUCUGAGAUAUUAGGUUAAGUCCCGCAACGAGCGCAAUACUUGUCAUUAGUUGCUACGAAAGGGCACUCGGCAGACUGCCGGUGACAAACCGGAGGAAGGUGGGAAUGACGUCAAGUCCUCAUGGCCCUUAUGGGUAGGGCUUCACCCGUCAUACAAUGGUCGGGACAGAGGUCAUAGCCAACGCGAGGGGAGCCAAUCCCAGAAACCCGAUCGUAGUCCGGAUCGCAGUCUGCAACUCGACUACGUGAAGUCGGAAUCGCUAGUAAUCGCGGAUCCAGCAUGUCGCGGUGAAUACGUUCCCGGGUCUUAUUCACACCUUCCGUCACACCAUGGGAGGUGGGUUUUACCAGAAGUAGUUAGCCUAACCGUAAGGAGGGGGCGAUUACCGACCAGAUUUCAUGACUGGGGGUGAAGUCGUAACAAAGGUA
RNAcentral lists this ribosomal RNA (1465 nucleotides) under uncultured Bordetella sp. RNAcentral's name for it is "partial 16S-23S ribosomal RNA intergenic spacer". It matches the Rfam family "Bacterial small subunit ribosomal RNA". Lineage: Bacteria; Pseudomonadati; Pseudomonadota; Betaproteobacteria; Burkholderiales; Alcaligenaceae. The record is from RNAcentral.